UACAGGGGGGGCAAGCGUUGUUCGGAAUUACUGGGCGUAAAGGGCUCGUAGGUGGCCAACUAAGCCAGACGUGAAAUCCCUCAGCUUAACUGGGGAACUGCGUCUGAUACUGGAUGGCUUGAGUUUGGGAGAGGGAUGCGGAAUUCCAGGUGUAGCGGCGAAAUGCGUAGAUAUCGGGAGGAACAUCUGUGGCGAAGGCGGCCAUCUGGACCAGCACUGACACUGAGGCACGAAAGCGUGGGGAGCAAACAGG
RNAcentral lists this ribosomal RNA (253 nucleotides) under uncultured bacterium. RNAcentral's name for it is "partial 16S ribosomal RNA". It matches the Rfam family "Bacterial small subunit ribosomal RNA", at positions 524 to 776 of the family's 1533-position model. The record is from RNAcentral.